Molecule: long non-coding RNA, 1602 nt
Organism: Bactrocera neohumeralis
Lineage: Eukaryota; Metazoa; Arthropoda; Insecta; Diptera; Tephritidae
Exons: 2
Source: RefSeq, a predicted model, not a curated record
UUCAGGGCCAUGUGCGCCACGCCGGUAGCCGCAAAAAUGUUGUUAUCCUGUUUUGCUCUCCUUUUUGCUGUGCUUCUUUUAUUGUGUUUUUGUGUACUGCGCUCGGCAACUUAAUAAUAACCGUGAAAACGAGCAUAAAACGGAGUAAUAUAAAUAGCAACAACAACACUGACUGCAGCAAAACGGUUGUAGGCUGCGUACUAGUUUGAGUGUGUGUGUAGGUUUAACAGUAUAUAUGUACUUAGCACAUAAGCAUGUAGGUUGGUUGGUUGGUUGGCUGACAGGCUGGUUGUUGGUUUGGCAAACAUGUGCUCUGCAAGUGGGCAUUAUUUUUAGUCGCCAGCGUUGGGCGUAAGUGAGUUGCUGACAUUGUCGGUGACGUCAUGUCGGUGAUGCUGGAAUCAAUGCUGUUGCUGCGGCUGUCAUUGACUGACACUGCUUAUAAAUAUGCAUAUGUUGUUGCAUUUAUUUAUAGUAAGCCAUCGAAUGCAGUCAUUUACGUUUUAAAACACCACAUUUGCUAGCACAAGUUCAAGAACGUGGCAACUUUGCAUUUAGACGUUGGAAACUUAAAGUAGGGAAUUUCACGAACUCAUCUCAUCAUUAUACAUAAGUUGGGAUUCAAUUUUAAUCUCGAAGAAGUCGCAUGUACUAGAUGGUUGUCCAGGGAUGUAUCCACCUAGCAGCAUUCCAGCCGCAUGAGUAUAAACUGAAAAAUUAGCAGUUAGAACACCUGCAACUAAAGGGUGCUCCAAUUCAAGGUACCUACAUUUCCUACAUUUUUAUAGAAGAAACACAGAGACUUCAAAUUUAAUGGGGAAUGUUUAUUAUCAUUCGAAAGAACAUUCUCAUUUGUCGUUGGUCUCACAUGGUCUAUCCGUUGAGUCCAAUUUUCGAUGGCUCGUUCGAAUAUUUCAACUGGUAACUGGCGAAUGACACGCGUGAUGUUUGGCUCCAACGCCUGAAUCGAAGCAGGAUUAACCGCAUAGACUUUAGACUUCACAUAUCCCCACAGGAAAAAGUCUGACGGUGUAAUUUUACACGUUCUUGGCUGCCAAUCGACUGGACCAAAACGUGAAAUUAUCUGCUCAGCGAAGAGUUCUCUCCAUAAAUCCAUUGAUUGAUGCAACGAGUGGAAAGUGGCGCCGUCUUGUUGAAACCAAAUGUCGUCAUGAGUCACGAUGCUGUUUGCUAUUGAAAAAAGUACCUUCAUGUGGUUCACCCUUAGUAGAGGCAUAUAUGUAUUACUGCGAAAGGAAUAGCUGAUGUUCAGCUGAAAAAGAGAAUAUCCCAAACACAUAUUCUUAAGAAUUAAAAAAAAAUUUAGGAUACAAAAAAAUUUUGAAAAUUUUUCUUUUGAGGAUAGCUGAUAUGAAUGGAAAGCGGUUAUAUCCAACUUAAAGAUCGGCCGAAACGAUAUCACUUCAAAAGUAGUAAAAGUUAGUAUGGACCCGUAAAGACAACGUAAUAUAAGAAUAUUUAUUACAAUAUCAUUUGAUACUGAGUUAAAUCCGAUGUUGAACUUCUUAUUUUAAAAAUUGUAAAACAAUAUUGCCACUAAUAAACUCCAAGAAAAAAUCGUAAGUUUUACCACAGUCGAAA